UACGGGGGGGGGAAGCGUUGUUCGGAAUUACUGGGCGUAAAGGGCUCGUAGGCGGCCAACUAAGUCAGACGUGAAAUCCCUCAGCUUAACUGGGGAACUGCGUCUGAUACUGGAUGGCUUGGAUUCGGGAGAGGAAUGCGGAAUUCCAGGUGUAGCGGUGAAAUGCGUAGAUAUCUGGAGGAACACCGGUGGCGAAGGCGACAUCCUGGACCGGUAUUGACGCUGAGGCGCGAAAGCCAGGGGAGCAAACGGG
RNAcentral lists this ribosomal RNA (253 nucleotides) under uncultured bacterium. RNAcentral's name for it is "partial 16S ribosomal RNA". It matches the Rfam family "Bacterial small subunit ribosomal RNA", at positions 524 to 776 of the family's 1533-position model. The record is from RNAcentral.